RNAcentral lists this transfer RNA (88 nucleotides) under Candidatus Cloacimonadota bacterium. RNAcentral's name for it is "tRNA-Leu". It matches the Rfam family "tRNA". From Rfam's summary of the family: Transfer RNA (tRNA) molecules are approximately 80 nucleotides in length. Their secondary structure includes four short double-helical elements and three loops (D, anti-codon, and T loops). RNAcentral also lists the same sequence under 1 other name. Lineage: Bacteria; Pseudomonadati; Candidatus Cloacimonadota. The record is from RNAcentral.
GCCGAAGUGGCGGAAUUGGUAGACGCAGUGGACUCAAAAUCCACCGCCGAUUUUCGGUGUGCCGGUUCGAGUCCGGCCUUCGGUACCA